GAUGAACGCUGGCGGCGUGCCUAACACAUGCAAGUCGAACGGAGAUUACGGACGGAAGUUUUCGGAUGGAAGCCUGUACUUCUUAGUGGCGGACGGGUGAGUAACGCGUGGGCAACCUGCCCUAUACAGGGGGAUAGCAGCUGGAAACGGCUGGUAAGACCGCAUAAGUCGGUUAAAUCGCAUGAUUUGAUCGGGAAAUGAGCAAUCAGGUAUAGGAUGGGCCCGCGUCCGAUUAGCCAGUUGGCAGGGUAAAAGCCUACCAAAGCGACGAUCGGUAGCCGAGGUGCGAGGUCGGACGGCCACAUUGUGACGGAGCCACGGCCCAGAAUCCUACGGGAUGCAGCAGUGGGGGAUAUUGCACAACGGCGGAAGCUCUGAUGCAGCGACGCCGGGUGAGUGAAGAAGUAUUUCGGUAUGGAAAGCUCUAUCAGCAGGGAAGAUGAUGACGGUACCUGACUAAGAAGCCCCGGCUAACUACGUG
Molecule: ribosomal RNA, 481 nt
Filed under: uncultured bacterium
Lineage: Bacteria
Description: partial 16S ribosomal RNA
Rfam family: Bacterial small subunit ribosomal RNA
Source: RNAcentral